AUCCAUCUAUGACCAACUCGUAAUUUAUGUUUUUAGAGGUAUCACAACUUUAGUUGGGAUUAGUCACUAUCUUGCAACCUUUUGGGUUUUAAGCAUCAUUAUAUUCUAAACAGUUAACACUACCAUAUCAUCUCUACUAUAGAGACAAUCAAUUAGAUUACAAUAAUCCAAUCAUUAAUUAAUAAAGAACAAUGUUUUGUCAAACAAAACAUUCAUCCAUCUCUAC
This 226-nucleotide long non-coding RNA is filed under the name Malus domestica (apple). Its description in RNAcentral is "long non-coding RNA (MDOM_LNC010388)". Lineage: Eukaryota; Viridiplantae; Streptophyta; Magnoliopsida; Rosales; Rosaceae. The record is from RNAcentral.